Molecule: long non-coding RNA, 600 nt
Filed under: Ricinus communis (castor bean)
Lineage: Eukaryota; Viridiplantae; Streptophyta; Magnoliopsida; Malpighiales; Euphorbiaceae
Description: long non-coding RNA (RCOM_LNC002828)
Source: RNAcentral
UUCCUCAUUUUUCACAGAUUUUGGUCCUCUGAAAGUGGUUUGAUGGCCUCCAAACAUGGCCUCAUGGUACAUCCCACAACCUACGUAGAUAUUCACAUAUAUUUAUAAAAAGAAAUGAAAAGCAUAAUAAGAUUUUCACUUUUCCAUGUUUUAAAGCCACUUCAAUAUGUCAAUUGCCAAAUAGGGUCCCAUAAAAUGGUCCCUUUUUUUUUUCUUUUGGGUUAAUAGGAAUAAGCCAGAGAGAGAGAGAGAGAGAGAGAGAGAGAGAGAUCCUACCCUACCUUAUUUUGGUCUCAAUUGACAUAUUGCUUUCCUUCAGAUGCGGUUUUACUUGGAUGGGAGCCCUUGACAACAGUCUUAACUUUAAUACAACUCCAACAUACAUUAUUUCUAUCACAUACCAUUAUAUAUGUGAGGUGAUAUCUACCUUUUUCUUUUAAUUCCAUUAUGAGACCUCCUCAAACUUUUUAAGCAACAAUACCAGAAAACUCAAUAAUACCAUAAAAUCAAAACUCUCCUUUUCUAAUUCAUUGAAAUAAUGGGAAAAUAACUACUCCUCAAAAUAUGAAAACCGAAAAUUUUUACUUUUACUGCUUCAAC